UACGAAGGGGGGCUAGCGUUGCUCGGAAUCACUGGGCGUAAAGGGCGCGUAGGCGGCGUUUUUAAGUCGGGGGUGAAAGCCUGUGGCUCAACCACAGAAUGGCCUUCGAUACUGGGACGCUUGAGUAUGGUAGAGGUUGGUGGAACUGCGAGUGUAGAGGUGAAAUUCGUAGAUAUUCGCAAGAACACCGGUGGCGAAGGCGGCCAACUGGACCAUUACUGACGCUGAGGCGCGAAAGCUAGGGUAGCAAACGGG
This 255-nucleotide ribosomal RNA is filed under the name uncultured bacterium. RNAcentral's name for it is "partial 16S ribosomal RNA". It matches the Rfam family "Bacterial small subunit ribosomal RNA", at positions 524 to 776 of the family's 1533-position model. The record is from RNAcentral.